This 377-nucleotide ribosomal RNA is filed under the name uncultured Chloroflexota bacterium. RNAcentral's name for it is "bacterial SSU rRNA". It matches the Rfam family "Bacterial small subunit ribosomal RNA", at positions 521 to 896 of the family's 1533-position model. The record is from RNAcentral. Lineage: Bacteria; Bacillati; Chloroflexota.
UAAUACGUAGGGUUCAAACGUUGUCCGGAUUUACUGGGCGUAAAGAGCGCGUAGGCGGUUUGUUAAGUCUCAUGUGAAAUCUCCCGGCUCAACUGGGAGGGGUCAUGGGAAACUGGCAGGCUUGAGGGUAGCAGAGGAAAGCGGAAUUCCCGGAGUAGUGGUGAAAUGCGUAGAUACCGGGAGGAACACCAGAGGCGAAGGCGGCUUUCUGGGCUAUUCCUGACGCUGAGGCGCGAAAGCGUGGGGAGCAAACCGGAUUAGAUACCCGGGUAGUCCACGCCCUAAACGAUGGAUACUAGAUAUGGGGGGUAUCGACCCCUCCCGUGUCGCAGCUAACGCAUUAAGUAUCCCGCCUGAGGAGUACGGCCGCAAGGCUA